UAUGUUCUCACGGGAGAACACUGGUGACAAAUUCCUGUGCAUCCUGGACACCCGGUGAAUGCCAGGAGAGCUCGAAGGCUCUGUGGUUGACUGAAGAACCGCUUUAAGAAAUGUUAUACGUUCUCGCCGAGCCCAGUCUGCUGACCUUCAGGCCAUGGAGCGAAACCUUUCUUUUAAGUCAAGCAUCCCCCAUUGGGAAGCACUCCAGCUUUUUCUUUUUAUGAGGAAUUUUAACUGCUGGACUUAAUUUAAUUAUUGUAUUUUGUACAUACUCCCAGAAGCCCCAGGGCAUGAGCUUUGCUUUUUUCCAAACUUUCAAAUAAAUAUCUUUAGAAAUGCA
Molecule: long non-coding RNA, 340 nt
Organism: Dipodomys spectabilis (banner-tailed kangaroo rat)
Lineage: Eukaryota; Metazoa; Chordata; Mammalia; Rodentia; Heteromyidae
Exons: 2
Source: RefSeq, a predicted model, not a curated record